Molecule: ribosomal RNA, 732 nt
Filed under: uncultured bacterium
Lineage: Bacteria
Description: bacterial SSU rRNA
Rfam family: Bacterial small subunit ribosomal RNA
Source: RNAcentral
AACAGGAUUAGAUACCCUGGUAGUCCACGCCGUAAACGAUGGGUGCUAGGUGUGGGGGGUGUCGACUCCCCCCGUGCCGAAGCUAACGCAUUAAGCACCCCGCCUGGGGAGUACGGCCGCAAGGCUAAAACUCAAAGGAAUUGACGGGGGCCCGCACAAGCAGCGGAGCAUGUGGCUUAAUUCGACGCAACGCGAAGAACCUUACCAAGGCUUGACAUACACCGAAAACUCAUAGAGAUAUGGGGUCCGCAAGGGCGGUGUACAGGUGGUGCAUGGUUGUCGUCAGCUCGUGUCGUGAGAUGUUGGGUUAAGUCCCGCAACGAGCGCAACCCUCGUUCUAUGUUGCCAGCGCGUGAUGGCGGGGACUCAUAGGAGACUGCCGGGGUCAACUCGGAGGAAGGUGGGGACGACGUCAAAUCAUCAUGCCCCUUAUGUCUUGGGCUGCACACAUGCUACAAUGGCCGGUACAAAGGGCUGCUAAACCGCGAGGUGGAGCGAAUCCCAAAAAGCCGGUCUCAGUUCGGAUUGGGGUCUGCAACUCGACCCCAUGAAGUCGGAGUUGCUAGUAAUCGCAGAUCAGCAACGCUGCGGUGAAUACGUUCCCGGGCCUUGUACACACCGCCCGUCACACCACGAAAGUUGGCAAUACCCGAAGCCGGUGGGCUAACCCGCAAGGGAGGCAGCCGUCGAAGGUAGGGUUGAUGAUUGGGGUGAAGUCGUAACAAGGUAACC